UAGCUCAGUCAGUUCAGCGUGGCGCUGAGAACGCCAAGGUCGUGGGUUCGAUUCCUGU
This 58-nucleotide transfer RNA is filed under the name Apaloderma vittatum (bar-tailed trogon). It matches the Rfam family "tRNA", at positions 8 to 63 of the family's 71-position model. From Rfam's summary of the family: Transfer RNA (tRNA) molecules are approximately 80 nucleotides in length. Their secondary structure includes four short double-helical elements and three loops (D, anti-codon, and T loops). Lineage: Eukaryota; Metazoa; Chordata; Aves; Trogoniformes; Trogonidae. The record is from Rfam by way of RNAcentral.